CGCGUGCGGGAAGAAGGCCUUCGGUUGUAACGCUUUGUCAGGGAAGAAAAUACUUCUGAGCUAAUACCUCGGGGGGAUGACGGUACCUGGAGAAUAAGCACCGGCUAACUACGUGCCAGCAGCCGCGGUAAUACGUAGGGUGCAAGCGUUAAUCGGAAUUACUGGGCGUAAAGCGUGCGCAGGCGGUUGUGCAAGACAGAUGUGAAAUCCCCGGGCUUAACCUGGGAACUGCAUUUGUGACUGCACGGCUAGAGUGCGGCAGAGGGGGAUGGAAUUCCGCGUGUAGCAGUGAAAUGCGUAGAUAUGCGGAGGAACACCGAUGGCGAAAGGCAAUCCCCUGGGCCUGCACUGACGCUCAUGCACGAAAGCGUGGGGAGCAAAACAGGAUUAGAUACCCUGGUAGUCCACGCCCUAAACGAUGUCAACUGG
This 429-nucleotide ribosomal RNA is filed under the name uncultured bacterium. RNAcentral's name for it is "bacterial SSU rRNA". It matches the Rfam family "Bacterial small subunit ribosomal RNA", at positions 398 to 819 of the family's 1533-position model. The record is from RNAcentral.